RNAcentral lists this ribosomal RNA (305 nucleotides) under uncultured bacterium. Its description in RNAcentral is "partial 16S ribosomal RNA". It matches the Rfam family "Bacterial small subunit ribosomal RNA", at positions 505 to 807 of the family's 1533-position model. The record is from RNAcentral.
ACAGCAGCAGCCGCGGUAAUACGAAGGGGGCUAGCGUUGUUCGGAUUUACUGGGCGUAAAGCGCACGUAGGCGGACUUUUAAGUCAGGGGUGAAAUCCCGGGGCUCAACCCCGGAACUGCCUUUGAUACUGGAAGUCUUGAGUAUGGUAGAGGUGAGUGGAAUUCCGAGUGUAGAGGUGAAAUUCGUAGAUAUUCGGAGGAACACCAGUGGCGAAGGCGGCUCACUGGACCAUUACUGACGCUGAGGUGCGAAAGCGUGGGGAGCAAACAGGAUUAGAUACCCGCGUAGUCCCUGUCUCUUAUAC